GAUGUGCUUAAACGACGACGUCAGACAAAGCUGCUAAUCAUAUUCAACGCAAGGCAUUUUCCCCCAAAAUUGUCUUGCGCCAAUAUCGCAGCUCCCUGCCACCGCACACAAUUUGAGUUCGCAACCGCUCCGUCAUCUCCAUUGCCAACCAGCUAAUGAAAUGGGUUAGAAAAUAGACUGGCUGUUGGGAGAGUGAAGUGCUGGUGCUAUGCCUCGGUACCAAAAGAAAAGUUCUCCACACUCGUCCAUCGGCGAAUAGCAAGAGAUCUUUCACGAGAAUAUGUUGAGUGCCCAGAUAUACAUUUUGUGUGGAGAUAUGAACUGAGUUUGCUCAGCCCCUACUGUGAUUGUGGACUCCUUUAUACUAUAAGACUUCUUUCUUGUUCUCUUUUGCUCAGACUUCUUGAUAUUUGUAGGUUGCAUAAGUCCCGUUUACUUUUUCUUUUUAAAUAAAUAAAUCUGAAACCUACGUGAAAAAAUCACUUUUUUAAAAGAAAGUGUGUGAGCGUUGCACAUUUUAAAACUGUAUAUAACAUUACUCUUUUAGAAAAACACCCCUCCCAUAUUGCAGUUAAAUUUGAACCUCAUUUCAGUUAAAUUUGAACCAGCAAACUGCAGCAGGAAAUGGCAACCAUUCAAAUUCCACUUCAACCGUUAAAGCUGAAUGGACAGUUCAUAUGGGAAAAACAGAAUGCCACCAUGUCGAGGAUAUUUCUACCGUAGAGCGUGAAAACAAAGACCUUGAAGAGGCUCUUCAGAAUUGUUUGAAGAAGGCAAAUUUGGGCGCACAACAAUGGAAGAAUGCUCAAGAAUCCUUGCUCAUCCAAGAAAGUAGCAAAUUUUGCUUCUGUGGACUCCAUUGUUAGGACGGCAAUGGAAGCUAAUCAAAGUCCCGUGUGCCCAGUUUUCUUCUGCCUUGUCAACUGCUUUGGGAAAUGGAGACAUUGCUAACAAGGAUCUGUUUUCAUCCAUUGACCAUCAGUAUCUAAUUUUACAUGCACAUUAUUGCAUAGAGCUGAAAAUAUUCAGGUUUAUCAGGACUACCAGAGCACUGAAUAUUGAGAACAUCGGUGUUGAUGAUUGCCUACAACGAUAUAUGUUCAGUUGGGAGGACAGUUUAUGGUCCACAAGUGUCGACUCGGCCAUUGAAAACCAUAAAAAACCGACCUCAAAGAAUUGGCACUCCACCCUAGUAAUAAAUUAGCCCAUGUCAAAAAGAGUAAGGCAUAUAACACGAUGAAACCAGACCCCAUUGAGGUGUUCCUUCUCCACAUUUGGAAUCUUUACAUCAAAUGAUAUUACGUUAAUUUUCCAA
Long non-coding RNA from Juglans microcarpa x Juglans regia, 1315 nucleotides. RefSeq lists it as uncharacterized. The record is from RefSeq and is a predicted model, not a curated record. Lineage: Eukaryota; Viridiplantae; Streptophyta; Magnoliopsida; Fagales; Juglandaceae. The transcript has 4 exons.